AGAGUUUGAUCCUGGCUCAGAACGAACGCUGGCGGCAGGCCUAACACAUGCAAGUCGAACGAGAAGCCACCUUCGGGUGGUGGACAGUGGCAGACGGGUGAGUAACGCGUGGGAACGUGCCUUUCGGUUCGGGAUAACCCAGGGAAACUUGGGCUAAUACCGGAUACGCCCUUCGGGGGAAAGAUUCAUUGCCGAAAGAUCGGCCCGCGUCGGAUUAGCUAGUUGGUGGGGUAAUGGCCUACCAAGGCGACGAUCCGUAGCUGGUCUGAGAGGAUGACCAGCCACACUGGGACUGAGACACGGCCCAGACUCCUACGGGAGGCAGCAGUGGGGAAUAUUGGACAAUGGGCGCAAGCCUGAUCCAGCCAUGCCGCGUGGGUGAAGAAGGCCUUAGGGUUGUAAACCCCUUUCAGCGGGGAAGAUAAUGACGGUACCCGCAGAAGAAGUCCCGGCUAACUCCGUGCCAGCAGCCGCGGUA
RNAcentral lists this ribosomal RNA (478 nucleotides) under uncultured Pseudomonadota bacterium. RNAcentral's name for it is "bacterial SSU rRNA". It matches the Rfam family "Bacterial small subunit ribosomal RNA", at positions 8 to 522 of the family's 1533-position model. Lineage: Bacteria; Pseudomonadati; Pseudomonadota. The record is from RNAcentral.